CCUUUUUCUCUGUACCAAUUCUCCCUAUUUCUGUCUCCCCUUUUCCUUGACUUGUUCUUUUCAAUCUUUUGUCUUUCCCUCAGUGUAAAAUAAUUGAAAAAACAAGAAGAUAAAAUUCAUAGAUUCACUUUCUUCUGCACUUCUCCUCUCUUUUGUUUUCAUUUCUCCUCUCUCAAACCUAAAGUAUUAUACUCCUUAUAACCUAAUUCUUCCAUUUCUCUCUUCCUACUCAUUCUUUUACUUCUAAAUAUAACUGAGAUUUUCCUUCUUUAUUCUUUUCCUAACUUAAACUUUAUAGUUCAUUUGAUUAUCUGAAGUUAUAUAUUAAUUAAGUGGAAAAAAAAUGCUACCAUGGUUACUAACACUUCAGUUAAUUUCUCAUUAAUUUUUUCUAUCAAAGCCAUAAUUAUUGCCCUUUUCUUCUUUCUUGUUUUCUCUCCUUCCUUUUGUUUAUGUCAUAAAAACAAACCCCAAGACUUUACUCAGGAUUUGUUAGUGGAAGAGAAAACAAGAUUGGGUUCAACACCACCAAGUUGUUACAACAAGUGUAACCAAUGCCACCCAUGCAUGGCAGUUCAAGUGCCAACGAUACCGAGUCACCACCGAGUUGAACCGAGUCGAAUCCAAGGUAUGCCCAUGGACUAUUUUCAGUCACCUGGGGCUAAUAGGUACUCCAAUUACAAACCACUUGGCUGGAAAUGUAGAUGUGGUGACCACUUUUACAACCCUUAGCUUGGGACGUGAUUAGGUUAACUUGAGCGCACCUAAACUAAUUUAGGCUCGCGAAUUUUAAAAUUUUUGUGAGUUGUGUGAUUUAUAAUUAACACGUGGAAUAUGUAAUUUUUGGAUUUUAUAUUUUAGGAAUUUUGGUCAAUAAAUUUGGUCCCUAGUUGGGAUUCUUGUAGAGGCAAGACAUAUUAAAUGAGGCUGUUAUAAGCAUUUAGUAUGGUGUACACAUUGAUAUUCAAUACACUGAUGUUGUGCAGAACCUUUUUAUCA
This is a long non-coding RNA of Nicotiana tabacum (common tobacco), 999 nucleotides long. RefSeq lists it as uncharacterized. NCBI's taxonomy places the organism in Eukaryota, Viridiplantae, Streptophyta, Magnoliopsida, Solanales, Solanaceae. The record is from RefSeq and is a predicted model, not a curated record.